This 2170-nucleotide unclassified non-coding RNA is filed under the name Camponotus floridanus (Florida carpenter ant). Its description in RNAcentral is "protein SHQ1 homolog, transcript variant X2". The record is from RNAcentral. Lineage: Eukaryota; Metazoa; Arthropoda; Insecta; Hymenoptera; Formicidae.
GUUAGGUUAGACUAGGUUGGGUUAUCAGUCGGAAAAAAUACAUGCUGAGAGUUCCUUCGUGUAAGCAUUGUUAGAAAAUUGUAUUCAUGAGAGCAAAAUGUUGACUCCGCGCUUUGAAAUUACGCAAACUGACGCAGAAGUCGUGAUAACAAUACACGCUCCGUACGCCAAUAUAAAAGAUGCAGAGGUAUACGUUGAGGAAACAGAUGUCAGGUUUUAUGCCACUCCGUAUUACUUGAGAUUACAGUUACCAGGUGAAAUAGAGGAGGAUAAUUCGUCUUCUGGUUCUUAUGAUUAUGAAAAGGGUGAUUUUAUUUUACACUUCUCUAAAGUGAAUAAAGGAGAACACUUUGAAAACUUGGAUAUGAUAACUGUUCUUUUAGCGCCACCAAAAAAGAAAAGUACUGUUAUUCCUAAUAUUGAAGUAAUUGGUAAUCCAUCUGCAAAUUCAGCAAACAUUGACGACAGUUUAAAUGAUAAUGAUGUUACAAAUAACGAUGAUUCUGAAGAUAACUGGUUUAUACCUCAGAAUAAUCCAUCAGAAAAUGUCACAAUUCUUAUAAACUCUCCAAAGUAUGGUUUUGCAAACAAAAUAUCCGGAGCUUUAACUGCUUUCGAGACAGCAUGGAUUAAGGAAAUAAUAGAUCUUCCUAACCCUGAUACAACUCCUGAAACAGAAAGAAAAAGUUUGCAAGAAAAACGCGAAUUGACAGAUUUCAAUGAAGAACAUUAUAUGGCAGAUCUUAUGGAGCCAGAAUGCAUCGAAUCAUAUAUAACAUAUACGGCAGAUUGGGACAUAAUGGGGCUAGAGAAAGAUAAAGUCACAUUUAGUGAAGCUGAGAUUGAUUUAUUAAAAGAACUUCCAAAUAAGGAAUAUUUAUUAGAUGCUGAAGAUAUUAAAAAAUUAUCUUUAAAUCUUAUUGAUAUUUUAUAUGCCAGUUGUUACAACCAUCGAACAACAUUAGGAGAAAAUACUGUAGAAAGCAGUUGGACCAUUAAUAAACUAAGCUCUACAUUAUGUUGGUUCCGAAAUUUUACUUCUGUGGAUGAAAUUAUUAUUGCUUGCUUUCGAAGAUCACUUUGUUACCCACUUUACAGAAAUUGGAACCUUUCUAUGAAAGUUUUUGAGGAUGUUAAAAAAGUCAUAACAUUAGGAAAAAAAUACAUUAUCAAAAUCUUCUGCGAGAUACAUAGCCUAUUCAACAAUUCAUAUGAACCAAGAUACAUAUUAAAUCAAUUAUAUAUAAAAGAUUUUUUAAUUUGGUUACAAGCAUCUCCAGAAUCCUUGAUAGAAUCGCUUCAGUCUAUGUUAAAGGAUAUUCAUCCAAGUAAAGCAAGUAUGGGAUUAGAUUUAGUAGAACUGGAAGUGGCAGCUUAUUCUGUUCAAGAAGAAGGAUUAGUUAUAGAAAAUGCUGUUCAUGAGAUGGUUGGACAAAUCGAUGAAUUAUGUUUGAAUAAUGAUUCUGAGAAAGAAAAGCCAAAGAAUAUAUAUCAUGAUAACAAACAAUUUUUUAAGCAUUUGUUAUUGAACAAUACAAGUUCAACGAAUAGCAGCGAUACAGAUUCUGAAACAGAUUCUGAAAGCAGUACUACAUCAAGUAGCAGUACUACUAGCAGUAGUAGCAGUCUGGAUUCUGAUGAUUUAGAUGAAUCUUGAAUAAAGUGACAAAACUAAUCCUUUUUGAGGAGUAGUCUACAUUUUUCGUUUGUAAUAUAAGACGCAAAGGAUUGAAGCUGGGAUAAUUUUAUAUAAUGCCGAUAUAUCAUAAUAAAAAUCGACGCUGAAUUUAUUUGCGCUAAUGAAAUUGUAUUCGACGAGACAAAUUGCUGACUGCAGGCACAAAUACGCGCUCGCCAACUCAAGAAACUCGACCGAACAGAGGCUCCCUUGUUCUCUCUUGUCUUCAUUCGCGUCGUGCUCUUUUAACGCGAUUUUCUGCCACUUUCUCAGUAGAGCCUCGUCUCUCUUAUGUGCGACCGGCUUUCGUAAUCAAGUGCACACGCGAAUAAUUAACGUAAUUAACGAUAAACUCUCGACUUCACGUUCUCGCUACAUCUGAAUUUUCUUUCCGCUUGUGGUCGUAAAAGUGUCGUGUUUGAUCCCCGAAACAAAUCGCUAAAGAUCAUCUCUGUUAGAUACACGAGAAGAAGAGCAAAAAUGUACGAUUUU